Molecule: transfer RNA, 73 nt
Filed under: Salmo salar (Atlantic salmon)
Lineage: Eukaryota; Metazoa; Chordata; Actinopteri; Salmoniformes; Salmonidae
Rfam family: tRNA
About the family: Transfer RNA (tRNA) molecules are approximately 80 nucleotides in length. Their secondary structure includes four short double-helical elements and three loops (D, anti-codon, and T loops).
Source: Rfam by way of RNAcentral
GCAGCCCAGGCUUCAGACUGGGAGCAUGGUGUUUGCAACGCCAGGGUUGUGGGUUCGAUUCCCACGGGGGGCC